GAACCUGACCGGUCAUGCCAACACAUGCAAGUCGAACGGUCUGGUGUUUAACACCAAACGCUACAUGCUAACCGGGGAAUCACAAACAAGCCGCGUCUUAUGAACGAGCGAAGCAAGUUCAUUACGCAACUUAAAAGUGACUAACCGGAAAAGUAAGAGCGAUUGGUGUUGAACGCCAGGUAGUGGCGAACGGGUGAGUAACGCGUAAACAACCUGCCUCAUAGAUGGGGACAACACCGCGAAAGUGGUGCUAAUACCGAAUGUUUUAACUUUGCUGCAUGGCAGAGUUAAUAAAGGUGGCCUCUAAAUUAUGCUACCGUUAUGAGAGGGGUUUGCGUCUGAUUAGCUAGUUGGCGGGGUAAUGGCCCACCAAGGCGACGAUCAGUAGCCGGUCUGAGAGGAUGAACGGCCACACUGGGACUGAGACACGGCCCAGACUCCUACGGGAGGCAGCAGUGGGGAAUCUUCCGCAAUGGACGAAAGUCUGACGGAGCAACGCCGCGUGAGUGAAGAAGGUUUUCGGAUCGUAAAGCUCUGUCUUUUGGGACGAAUGUGCUGUAGGUGAAUAAUCUGUAGCAAUGACGGUACUAAAGGAGGAAGCCACGGCUAACUACGUGCCAGCAGCCGCGGUAAUACGUAGGUGGCGAGCGUUGUCCGGAAUUAUUGGGCGUAAAGGGCGCGUAGGCGGAUCUGUAAGUCUGACUUAAAAGUGCAGGGCUCAACCCUGUGAGGGGUCAGAAACUAUGGAUCUUGAGUGCAGGAGAGGAAAGUGGAAUUCCCAGUGUAGCGGUGAAAUGCGUAGAUAUUGGGAGGAACACCA
Molecule: ribosomal RNA, 820 nt
Filed under: uncultured Propionispora sp.
Lineage: Bacteria; Bacillati; Bacillota; Negativicutes; Selenomonadales; Sporomusaceae
Description: bacterial SSU rRNA
Rfam family: Bacterial small subunit ribosomal RNA
Source: RNAcentral